RNAcentral lists this ribosomal RNA (139 nucleotides) under uncultured eukaryote. RNAcentral's name for it is "partial 18S ribosomal RNA". It matches the Rfam family "Eukaryotic small subunit ribosomal RNA", at positions 1299 to 1458 of the family's 1831-position model. The record is from RNAcentral.
UGGUGGGUUGCCUUGUCAGGUUGAUUCCGGUAACGAACGAGACCUCAGCCUGCUAAAUAGUCCGGCUUGGUUCUUCCAGGUUGCUGACUUCUUAGAGGGACUCUCGGCGACUAGCCGAUGGAAGUGUGAGGCGAUAACA